UAAUACGAAGGGACCUAGCGUAGUUCGGAAUUACUGGGCUUAAAGAGUUCGUAGGUGGUUAAAAAAGUUGGUGGUGAAAUCCCAGAGCUUAACUCUGGAACUGCCAUCAAAACUUUUUAGCUAGAGUAUGAUAGAGGAAAGUAGAAUUUCUAGUGUAGAGGUGAAAUUCGUAGAUAUUAGAAAGAAUACCAAUUGCGAAGGCAACUUUCUGGAUCAUUACUGACACUGAGGAACGAAAGCAUGGGUAGCGAAGAGGAUUAGAUACCCUCGUAGUCCAUGCUGUAAACGAUGUGUGCUAGACGUUGGAAAUAUUUUAUUUCAGUGUCGCAGCAAAAGCAUUAAGCACACCGCCUGGGGAGUACGACCGCAAGGUUA
Molecule: ribosomal RNA, 375 nt
Filed under: uncultured Alphaproteobacteria bacterium
Lineage: Bacteria; Pseudomonadati; Pseudomonadota; Alphaproteobacteria
Description: bacterial SSU rRNA
Rfam family: Bacterial small subunit ribosomal RNA
Source: RNAcentral